Non-coding RNA from Schizosaccharomyces pombe (fission yeast), 414 nucleotides. The record is from the annotation of a GenBank genome assembly. Lineage: Eukaryota; Fungi; Ascomycota; Schizosaccharomycetes; Schizosaccharomycetales; Schizosaccharomycetaceae.
AAUAUCAGUAAUUUCUAAUUAAUCAAGUUGUUGUAGGCAAAUAUUAAUCAUAAAGCGAAGGCUAAGGAAACCAAAAUAAUCUAAUUGCUGAUUAUCUAUCAAUAAGUUUACAUUGUAUUAAAUUUUUUAAACAAAAGUCCUACUAAUUUUACGCUUUUACAAAUGGAGCUACUUCUUCAACCAAUUUUUACUCAUGAAAGGUAUACAUUUCUUAGAUUUCUAUUAAGAAGCUAAAGUUUCUAACUGUAUAAUUGAACUUUUUUAUCUGUUUGUAAUUGUGGAAUUAACCGAUUUAGUAAAACUUCAAUUUCUCGUUUUUUAAAGUUCAUUCACAUAAGCAGCUUUUGAAAAAUGAUAGGAACUUAAUUAAUCUCAUCAAUUCGGUUCUUUCAAAUAACUAAUUCCAGAUAACCC